UGCAGUGGGACGCAAGGGAACACACUGUGCUUGCACACCGUGUUUUCUUGAGUCGCGAACGGGUGAGUAACGCGUAGGUAACCUGCCUAUUAGCGGGGGAUAACUAUUGGAAACGAUAGCUAAUACCGCAUAAUAUUAAUUAUUGCAUGAUAAUUGAUUGAAAGAUGCAAGCGCAUCACUAGUAGAUGGACCUGCGUUGUAUUAGCUAGUUGGUAAGGUAAGAGCUUACCAAGGCGACGAUACAUAGCCGACCUGAGAGGGUGAUCGGCCACACUGGGACUGAGACACGGCCCAGACUCCUACGGGAGGCAGCAGUAGGGAAUCUUCGGCAAUGGACGAAAGUCUGACCGAGCAACGCCGCGUGAGUGAAGAAGGUUUUCGGAUCGUAAAGCUCUGUUGUAAGUCAAGAACGUGUGUGAGAGUGGAAAGUUCACACAGUGACGGUAGCUUACCAGAAAGGGACGGCUAACUACGUGCCAGCAGCCGCGGUAAUACGUAGGUCCCGAGCGUUGUCCGGAUUUAUUGGGCGUAAAGGGAGCGCAGGCGGUCAGGAAAGUCUGGAGUAAAAGGCUAUGGCUCAACCAUAGUGUGCUCUGGAAACUGUCUGACUUGAGUGCAGAAGGGGAGAGUGGAAUUCCAUGUGUAGCGGUGAAAUGCGUAGAUAUAUGGAGGAACACCAGUGGCGAAAGCGGCUCUCUGGUCUGUCACUGACGCUGAGGCUCGAAAGCGUGGGUAGCGAACAGGAUUAGA
RNAcentral lists this ribosomal RNA (750 nucleotides) under Streptococcus mutans. RNAcentral describes it as "bacterial SSU rRNA". It matches the Rfam family "Bacterial small subunit ribosomal RNA", at positions 56 to 782 of the family's 1533-position model. The record is from RNAcentral. Lineage: Bacteria; Bacillati; Bacillota; Bacilli; Lactobacillales; Streptococcaceae.